GUGAAUAUAGUUUAAACAAAAUCUUAGGCUGUGACCCUAAAAACGAGGACUAAAUAUCCUCUAUUCACC
RNAcentral lists this transfer RNA (69 nucleotides) under Pseudis tocantins. RNAcentral describes it as "tRNA-His". It matches the Rfam family "tRNA". Rfam says of the family: Transfer RNA (tRNA) molecules are approximately 80 nucleotides in length. Their secondary structure includes four short double-helical elements and three loops (D, anti-codon, and T loops). Lineage: Eukaryota; Metazoa; Chordata; Amphibia; Anura; Hylidae. The record is from RNAcentral.